This 497-nucleotide ribosomal RNA is filed under the name uncultured bacterium. RNAcentral's name for it is "partial 16S ribosomal RNA". It matches the Rfam family "Bacterial small subunit ribosomal RNA", at positions 28 to 507 of the family's 1533-position model. The record is from RNAcentral.
GAUGAACGCUGGCGGCGUGCCUAAUACAUGCAAGUCGAGCGAACAGACGAGGAGCUUGCUCCUCUGACGUUAGCGGCGGACGGGUGAGUAACACGUGGAUAACCUACCUAUAAGACUGGGAUAACUUCGGGAAACCGGAGCUAAUACCGGAUAAUAUAUUGAACCGCAUGGUUCAAUAGUGAAAGACGGUUUUGCUGUCACUUAUAGAUGGAUCCGCGCCGCAUUAGCUAGUUGGUAAGGUAACGGCUUACCAAGGCAACGAUGCGUAGCCGACCUGAGAGGGUGAUCGGCCACACGGGAACUGAGACACGGUCCAGACUCCUACGGGAGGCAGCAGUAGGGAAUCUUCCGCAAUGGGCGAAAGCCUUACGGAGCAACGCCGCGUGAGUGAUGAAGGUCUUCGGAUCGUAAAACUCUGUUAUUAGGGAAGAACAAAUGUGUAAGUAACUAUGCACGUCUUGACGGUACCUAAUCAGAAAGCCACGGCUAACUACGUG